Molecule: ribosomal RNA, 253 nt
Filed under: Ruminococcus callidus
Lineage: Bacteria; Bacillati; Bacillota; Clostridia; Eubacteriales; Oscillospiraceae
Also listed under: 3 other names
Description: partial 16S ribosomal RNA
Rfam family: Bacterial small subunit ribosomal RNA
Source: RNAcentral
UACGUAGGGAGCGAGCGUUGUCCGGAAUGACUGGGUGUAAAGGGAGCGUAGGCGGGAUGGCAAGUCAGAUGUGAAACCUGAGGGCUCAACCUUCAGACUGCAUUUGAAACUGCUGUUCUUGAGUGAAGUAGAGGUAAGCGGAAUUCCUGGUGUAGCGGUGAAAUGCGUAGAGAUCAGGAGGAACAUCGGUGGCGAAGGCGGCUUACUGGGCUUUUACUGACGCUGAGGCUCGAAAGCGUGGGGAGCAAACAGG